RNAcentral lists this ribosomal RNA (301 nucleotides) under uncultured bacterium. Its description in RNAcentral is "partial 16S ribosomal RNA". It matches the Rfam family "Bacterial small subunit ribosomal RNA", at positions 509 to 807 of the family's 1533-position model. The record is from RNAcentral.
CAGUAGCCGCGGUAAUACGGAGGGAGCUAGCGUUAUUCGGAAUUACUGGGCGUAAAGCGCACGUAGGCGGCUUUGUAAGUAAGAGGUGAAAGCCCAGAGCUCAACUCUGGAAUUGCCUUUUAGACUGCAUCGCUUGAAUCAUGGAGAGGUCAGUGGAAUUCCGAGUGUAGAGGUGAAAUUCGUAGAUAUUCGGAAGAACACCAGUGGCGAAGGCGGCUGACUGGACAUGUAUUGACGCUGAGGUGCGAAAGCGUGGGGAGCAAACAGGAUUAGAUACCCCCGUAGUCCCUGUCUCUUAUAC